RNAcentral lists this ribosomal RNA (497 nucleotides) under uncultured bacterium. RNAcentral describes it as "partial 16S ribosomal RNA". It matches the Rfam family "Bacterial small subunit ribosomal RNA", at positions 28 to 507 of the family's 1533-position model. The record is from RNAcentral.
GAUGAACGCUGGCGGCGUGCCUAAUACAUGCAAGUCGAGCGAACAGACGAGGAGCUUGCUCCUCUGACGUUAGCGGCGGACGGGUGAGUAACACGUGGAUAACCUACCUAUAAGACUGGGAUAACUUCGGGAAACCGGAGCUAAUACCGGAUAAUAUAUUGAACCGCAUGGUUCAAUAGUGAAAGACGGUUUUGCUGUCACUUAUAGAUGGAUCCGCGCCGCAUUAGCUAGUUGGUAAGGUAACGGCUUACCAAGGCGACGAUGCGUAGCCGACCUGAGAGGGUGAUCGGCCACACUGGAACUGAGACACGGUCCAGACUCCUACGGGAGGCAGCAGUAGGGAAUCUGACGCAAUGGGCGAAAGCCUGACGGAGCAACGCCGCGUGAGUGAUGAAGGUCUUCGGAUCGUAAAACUCUGUUAUUAGGGAAGAACAAAUGUGUAAGUAACUAUGCACGUCUUGACGGUACCUAAUCAGAAAGCCACGGCUAACUACGUG